Molecule: ribosomal RNA, 594 nt
Filed under: Niceforonia nana (Santander Andes frog)
Lineage: Eukaryota; Metazoa; Chordata; Amphibia; Anura; Strabomantidae
Description: LSU rRNA
Rfam family: Bacterial large subunit ribosomal RNA
Source: RNAcentral
UCGCCUGUUUUUCCAAAAACAUCGCCUCUCGAUUCCAUGAGAGGUCCAGCCUGCCCAGUGACCCAUGUUCAACGGCCGCGGUAUCCUAACCGUGCGAAGGUAGCGUAAUCACUUGUCUUUUAAAUAAAGACUAGUAUGAAAGGCACCACGAGGGUCUGACUGUCUCCUGUUUUCUAUCAGUGAAACUAAUCUCCCCGUGAAGAAGCGGGGAUUAUCAUAUAAGACGAGAAGACCCUAUGGAGCUUCAAACAACAUAAUCACCACCCUUAACAUUGCCAAAAAGCUUAACCCUAACUCAUGCCUGAUUAUAAGUUUUGGGUUGGGGAGACCACGGAGAAAACACACCCUCCACGCUGGACACGAACUUUCACCCUAAAUAAUAAGAUACAUCUUUUUAGAUCAACAAAUUGACACUCAUUGACCCAACACACUUGAUCAACGAACCAAGUUACCCUAGGGAUAACAGCGCAAUCCGCUUUAAGAGCUCAUAUCGACAAGCGGGUUUACGACCUCGAUGUUGGAUCAGGGUCUCCUAGUGGCGCAGCCGCUACUAAAGGUUCGUUUGUUCAACGAUUAAUACCCUACGUGAUCUGA